CUGGCGACGUACAUUUUACUUGGGUAUAUAAGGGAAGCAUCGUCGGGAACACGCAAUUUUCUUCUGAACGGAUCCGUGAAGCAUGUAGGAGAUAUUUUCUGGCGUCAGGGGCGAAAAUACUGUCCGACCGCCCUGCCGUUGUGUUCGUUAUGAAACCAUUGCUUCGUUCUUUGAGGACUGUUUCGCAAAAGUUGAAGGGAACGUUUCUGAUACUUAACCAAGUUCCUUGCUGAUCUGUUUCGUUGGAUCUAAGGGACGCUGUAGGCUACAUGUGUCUGUGGAACGAAACUGUUGCUUACAACGGAUGGUAGCACCCUUCUAUUUCCAAAAACGAAAGGCAGCCGGGAGGAUGCAUACGCACGCGUGACGGGACCUGGGUGUGGUCAGCCCGAAAGAUGGACCGAAGACAUACGAAUAAGACUUCAAAGACAAACCGCUUUCCGAGUCCGCGAGGGCCGUGGCACGUGUAUUGCGCUCAAACAGACGACAGCUUGUGAAUAGCAGACUACAAUAUCAGGUUCAUCGAGUGCAUAUUUCAAUUUUGGGUGAGGGCAGUCAUCUAAUUAAUUUAUUGGACAUAUCACUACGAAAAUAACCGCGAAAAUGUCAUUAAUGUCAUAACUAUGUCAUAAAGAUGGCGUUGCAUCCUCCGCUGUCAUAAUUUCUUUCGUUUGGCCGUGAUUGUUUGUGUCGUGUGGGCAUAUUUGGAAAUACCCGUUUCGACUCGUCGAACUGGUUAUCGCGACUAUCUUACUCUUCCAGUUGGUUAUCGGAUCGUACUACACCUCAUUAUGCGGCGACACUUUCGCAAACUUUCCGACUAAACAUAUUCACCAGUUAAUCCAUCAAGUACUCCUCCCCUUGCAUGACAUACCCUGGGGACAUACCCCGGGAACAUAUCUAAUCAGCUUUUUUAGCUAUCUAUCGAAACUUGCAAGUAACGCCGAUUGUGACAGGUUGUUACAUACCGACUGCUCACACGGCGUUUGUCUGACUUUUUGAUUGUACAAAUGUUCUUUUUUCAAUGUAAUUAGUAGGAUUAGUGGACUCGGAGAAUAGAAGCUUAGGACCUUUUGUGUUCUAGUUUACGAGAAUUUGGUCUUUAUAGCCAUAAAUCCCUGAACAAUCAUUGAACAAAACAUCCCGAUUCUCACACUGACAAACAAGCGGAGCUCGGUUACGCCAUCUCUCGACAUUAUGUAGAACUAAAAUGUGAAGUGUCGUAUGUUGUGACAUACCGAUUACUCAUACAGCGUCUGUCUUAUCAAGUGAAUUAUCUUGGGUUUAUAAGGGAAAGCAUCGUCAGGAACACGUAUUCCUCUUCUAAAUGGAUUGGUGAAGUGUGCACCUCCUAUUUUCUUGGGCAGUAGUCGGCGUCAGAGCGAAAAUUCGCAUGGCAUACCAUACUGGCAGCUUUAAUGUUAGGUUAAUGUUCGCUUCUCCGUCCCUGCACAGAAGGGUCAGAGAAGGAAACAUUAACACCUGCUUUCUUCAGGAUGUGCCUUUUACAAUGUGAUAGUCCAUGAGUAUCUUGUAUCUUGUUCCCUGGCAAUAACCGCAAACAUUCAGUAGACUCCGGGGGUAGUCCAUUUCGUCAUCCUAUUCAUACUGCCUCAGUGAGGUGAGGAACGAGGCCGGUCCACUGCGUCCGAAGUGUCACCAUCUGUAGCCUAUAUAGCUCCUCUCCUUUUGCCACAUUGUCCCUGACUAUCGCGGCCAACCUACUGACGAUUCCCGAAGUGCAUGGAACGACUGCUUCCGAGCUGAAAUAGUAACUAUCAGACAAUUAUUUCAUCAGAACUAUGUAAGUAUUUAACCUCGAUAGGUCAAAAUGGGGAGAGGCAAGAGGAAGACCAAAAACAUUCUAACUGAAUGCCGCUCCGCUGAACCAUGUCACAACCAUACUUUCUUUUAUGAUUGAAUAUCACGCAACUGGCAGCCACAUAUGCAUUUCUGAGGACAAUUUCGGUGCCACGGACAAAGUCACAACCAGGUCAUUAUGCGGUGGUUAUUGCAGGCGUUGUAUUUCUGGCUUCAUUCUUUGACGUUGCGUGGACAAUGUCACAACCAGACCUCACAUGCAGAGAAAAUGGGGCGCAGUCAUCAGGUUGGGAUAUUACCUUGGUUAUUGCACAAGAGACCGACACACAAUGUAUAAUUUCAUACCGGAGCAAAGGGCGUGGACCACAUUCCGGCCGUAUUUUGAGGACUGCAUCGAGAUGAAGACAUCCGCAGCCAUCAGAGUAAAAAAUUUUUGGACAUUUUUCUCCCUGGCCAAAGGCACACCCAGUCUGUUUGUUUGGUUUCUGAGAGGUUUGUUUUGAUCGUGACGCACUUGCGCCGGACUUGUCGACCUCCAGUCGCGUGCCUGCUGUCAAUCAAGAUCGCGAAGACGCAAUCACUGCAGUCGCCCACACGAGAAAAACAAACACCAUUCACCAGGCCAAGGACUUGAAUAACUCAUUAGAAAGAUAUAUGCGGAUUUGGCAGGACUUGUUUUGUGUCGUUUGGGCAGCGUCCAGCUGUCGGAUGUGAUUUCCAGGGACAAUGCCCCUCGAUCUUGCUGACCACAGGUGCAGCCACCAUGUGAGAAACACGGCUAUUGUGGUUACGUAAAUCCCGUCCCAGAAGUUUUAAAACUGUGAUAAUCACCCCCAUUGUGGCGACCAAGACAACCAGGGGAUACCAUUACUUGCUGUGGCAUAACAAAGCCACACUAAAACCUCUGGAGUAUUUCGGGAAUCGGGCACGCGCCGUGCCAUUUACCCGGCCAGUCCGCCUUUUGUCAUCAACCGGUCGUCUGCUUGCGGUUAGUGGGCAGAUGUCCAGAGAGUCACGCGCCUGGUCAGCGUUCACCCAGCCUCUGGCUUUGGAAUCACAAUGGUCAGCUUAAUAGACAAUUCCAAGAUAGAAAUUAAAGUAAUGGACCGAGUUCCGGCCAUUUUGAUUAGCAUUUUCAAAUAAUAUGGUCAGGUUCAAUCUGCGCCGGAUGGCCCUCAGUGUAUGGUAUCACUGCAACCUCGUCAGCAGUUGAAACAUGCCCAAACUGACUUAGUGUAAGAAGAUAACGAAAUAACCAUAGCGACGAGAUUGUCAAAGUCACAGACGGUAAUUUCCCAUCUUCUCAUCUGAUUGACUUCCGGUCACGAACAGACAACAUCAGCUAACUUCCGCUGAAAGUCAACGAAAAUGCUACUUAUCAAAUCGUCCUUUGAGAAAUCAACCCGUGGAUUGAUUUCUCGAAGUUAUGUCGAAGGACCGCUGAUGAGCUCCAAUGCACUGACGGGAACACAGGCUUCGCACUGUGAUGCGCAUUUCCAAAGCGGACAUAAUUUUUUCAAGCAUAUGGUAUACAUACAAAGUAAUAUGAUCGCCUCAUCACACUUGUCGACAUAAUACUGCCCGGAAUAUAUAAGUGUUAUACGGUUGAACUUA
Long non-coding RNA from Lineus longissimus, 3435 nucleotides. RefSeq lists it as uncharacterized. NCBI's taxonomy places the organism in Eukaryota, Metazoa, Nemertea, Pilidiophora, Heteronemertea, Lineidae. The transcript is spliced from 2 exons. The record is from RefSeq and is a predicted model, not a curated record.